Molecule: ribosomal RNA, 1274 nt
Filed under: metagenome
Description: bacterial LSU rRNA
Rfam family: Bacterial large subunit ribosomal RNA
Source: RNAcentral
CUGGUGCGCGAGAUGAGUAUUCUAAGGCGCUUGAGAGAACUCGGGAGAAGGAACUCGGCAAAUUGACACCGUAACUUCGGAAGAAGGCGUGCCUUUAGUAGGUGAAGGGAUUUACUCCUGGAGCCCAAUGAGGUUGCAAAAAAUCGGUGGCUGCGACUGUUUAUUAAAAACACAGCACUCUGCAAACACGAAAGUGGACGUAUAGGGUGUGACGCCUGCCCGGUGCUGGAAGAUUAAAUGAUGGGGUGCAAGCUCUUGAUUGAAGUCCCAGUAAACGGCGGCCGUAACCAUAACGGUCCUAAGGUAGCGAAAUUCCUUGUCGGUAAGUUCCGACCUGCACGAAUGGCGUAACGAUGGCCACACUGUCUCCUCCCGAGACUCAGCGAAGUUGAAAUGUUUGUGAUGAUGCAAUCUCCCCGCGGAAAGACGGAAAGACCCCAUGAACCUUUACUGUAGCUUUGUAUUGGACUUUGAACAGACCUGUGUAGGAUAGGUGGGAGGCUUUGAAGCAGGGUCGCUAGAUCUUGUGGAGCCAACGUUGAAAUACCACCCUGGUGUGUUUGAGGUUCUAACCUAGGUCCAUUAUCUGGAUCGGGGACAGUGCAUGGUAGGCAGUUUGACUGGGGCGGUCUCCUCCCAAAGCGUAACGGAGGAGUUCGAAGGUACGCUAGGUACGGUCGGACAUCGUGCUAAUAGUGCAAUGGCAUAAGCGUGCUUAACUGCGAGACUGACAAGUCGAGCAGAUGCGAAAGCAGGACAUAGUGAUCCGGUGGUUCUGUAUGGAAGGGCCAUCGCUCAACGGAUAAAAGGUACUCUGGGGAUAACAGGCUGAUACCGCCCAAGAGUUCAUAUCGACGGCGGUGUUUGGCACCUCGAUGUCGGCUCAUCUCAUCCUGGGGCUGUAGCCGGUCCCAAGGGUAUGGCUGUUCGCCAUUUAAAGAGGUACGUGAGCUGGGUUUAAAACGUCGUGAGACAGUUUGGUCCCUAUCUUCCGUGGGCGCUGCAGAUUUGAGGAAGCCUGCUCCUAGUACGAGAGGACCGGAGUGGACGCACCUCUGGUGUAUCGGUUGUCACGCCAGUGGCAUUGCCGAGUAGCUAUGUGCGGAAGAGAUAACCGCUGAAAGCAUCUAAGCGGGAAACUCGUUUCAAGAUGAGAUCUGCCGGGGCCUUGAGCCCCCUAAAGAGUCGUUCAAGACCAGGACGUUGAUAGGUCAGGUGUGGAAGCGCAGUAAUGCGUUAAGCUAACUGAUACUAAUUGCUCGUGCGGCUUGACC